GGAUAGAGAGGAGAGGGGAGGAGGGCGUGGAGAUAGGGAGAGGGCUCUAGAUCUGAAUUCUCAAUUCAUCUAAACCCUAAGAGAAGAGCAUCUUAAAUAGAGCCAUUCUUGGAGUUCAAACCAAAUUCCAAUUAGGGUUAAAAGGCAAGUCCUUAUCACAUAAGGACUCUUUCCUCCCACGAUGAUUUUUUUUCCAAGAAAACUAAACCCAAAUGAAAAGGGAUCACACCCA
Molecule: long non-coding RNA, 232 nt
Filed under: Elaeis guineensis (African oil palm)
Lineage: Eukaryota; Viridiplantae; Streptophyta; Magnoliopsida; Arecales; Arecaceae
Description: long non-coding RNA (EGUI_LNC047763)
Source: RNAcentral